Molecule: non-coding RNA, 1273 nt
Organism: Monodelphis domestica (gray short-tailed opossum)
Lineage: Eukaryota; Metazoa; Chordata; Mammalia; Didelphimorphia; Didelphidae
Source: RefSeq, a predicted model, not a curated record
CAACAUGAUUGCUGGUCCCGGUGGUGGUUUUCCCAUGUGUAAGACUAUGUGUUAUGUCCUGCUGAGAAUCCUUCCCUAAAGAGGAACUGGAAUGAAAUUAAUAACCUGGCCUGUUGAAAGGCAAAAAGAAGAAAAAAAAGUAACCCACCAACUUAAUGGCAAAGCACCUGCUGUCUGGAGUCAGCUAUAACCUGUGGUGACCUUACAAGGACUUAUGGAGAGAGCACACUACAGUGCAGGAUUUAUUCUUCAUUAAUCACCUAGGCACACAGGGUGCUGUACAAAAAUAAACAAAAUCAAGGCAAAAGAAAGCAUUCUGGGCUUUUAUUUCAAGUUAACCAGACACAGAGACCUCCCAAAUGUGUACUGAAAAUCACUUCUGGUUAAAUGGCUCCCAGAGUCCACUGCUGAGACUCACCAUAGGCAUACAUUCCAGAGCUCAAAGUACCUGGAGGGUGGAGGGAGUAGCCAACUCCUACUAGGAGAGACUGGGUGGAGCUGGAACUGGGGAGCUUUCCUGCAAGGACCAGGACAUUUCUCUCCUGCACUUCCCCCUUCAAUUGUGGCUUUGGAGGCUGCAGAGAGACUCAGACUUUGGGAGAAGAUGAGAGCUUGGGAAGAUCUUCUGGAAACUACAUUUUCUCUUCAUUAUUAAAUUUCCCAAACUGAUGAAUGCCGGAGGUCUUCUCACUUGUAGGUGCAUGGCCAUGAUUCUCUACCUCGGUCAUUAAACUUUUUUAAAGCUGUGAAAUAUCCAUGAUGCUGACUAUUACUGUCUUUAGGAUUUGGGACCUCCCUGUGCCUCAGUUCCCUCAUCUGUAAAAUAGUAGGAUUGGAUUAGAUGGCCUCUGGAGGGAGAAGCUGUAACAUGUUGCUAGUGUUUAUAUAGAGCUUCUUGUGAGAGGCACAGAGAUGAUAGCUGCUCAUCCUUGUGCAGAGAUUUUAAGGUCUUAAAAAGAGGCUGAGUUUGGUAUAUAUAUAUAUGUCAGUUACUUGUUCUGGAUUACAGUAUGAUUUCUUACUGUCUUUUGAUAUUUGUGUGUGUGUGUUAGAAAUUCUGAUAGCUUCAAAUAAAGGCUGGGAUUUUUUCCAAGAGUGGUCUUUCUAUCUUAUCUGGGUCUAAGAUGCCAUGGGUCAAGAAGCAGCUAGGUAGUUCAGGCCUGGAGAUGGGAGGUCCUGGAUUCAAAUCUGACCUCAGAUACUUCCUAGUACUGUGACCCUGGGCAAGUCACUUAACCCAAUUGCCUACCUAGCCCUUAUUGCUCUUUUUUUU